This is a long non-coding RNA of Lycium ferocissimum, 3384 nucleotides long. RefSeq lists it as uncharacterized. The record is from RefSeq and is a predicted model, not a curated record. The transcript has 2 exons. Lineage: Eukaryota; Viridiplantae; Streptophyta; Magnoliopsida; Solanales; Solanaceae.
AAGUUCAAACACCGUCCCCUUUGUUUCUCCUGACUUAUAAGAUGUAUAGAGUAUCUAUCUAUUAUAUAUCAAAUAGGAUGACUGUGAGAAUUGUUUGAUAAGUUCCUUCCAUUUAUGGAUUGUGGUUAUCUGAAACUGAAAAUAAAGCAAAGUUGCCUAUGCAAUCUAUUGGAUGUAAAUCUUCACGCUUGAGAUGCAAGUUGUUUGUAAAUAUUCGCUUUGAAGAUCUGAGUUAGUUAUUUAUAGAAUUCAUGAUUUACUUAUCUUGGAUGUUGCAAGUUUCACAUAAGGUUGAUCUUAUCAAAAUAGUUUCACAUAAGGUUGAUAGAUCUAUCUGCUAGAACUUUGUUGCAUAUGUUAAACAACUCUAGUACUCAAGAAAUGUUAAACUUGGUGUGAAGCAUAGAUUCUAGCCAACCAUGCAAUGCCCUUAAAUUUUAAAAAAGAACACAUUGUAAAAGCAUGAGCAUUGUUCAACUAGCACAGGUAAUGCUAGCGGUCUAAUAUAGGUGGUUUUGCAACUUUACAAACCUCUCUUGAUGCUCUAGGUAUCCAAAUAGAGAAAUAUGGGCAACUCUAUCCUCUAUUUUGAGUAACUUGUGUUAGAAGAACUUCCCUAGAAAAAGCCACUUCCCCCGCCUAUAGAUUUCCAUGCAUCUAGCUUUGAUCUGGUGGUACUCGGUCAGUAAAGUAGUUUAUUAAAUGCUCUUCUAUCUUUUGUUCUUGAAUGGUUAUUUUGAAUCAUAAGUUACUAUAAUGGUCCAUCAUCUUGUUCUCUGUAUAACUGGUCAAAUGCCAUCUUUUUGGCUUGAUAUUUGGAAAGUUAAUUGAGUAUUGGACAAUUAAGAUGCAUCCACACACCUUCUGUUCUUUCAGAAGCUAAUCUUGAUUCCAUAAAACGUGCUGUUAUUGCUGAACUCUUUCCAUCCUUUCAUGAUAUUCCUCUAUAGUUUGCAUUCAUAAGCUAGAGUGGUGUUUCCGGUUCUCCAUUCCUCCUUGUCAUACUUUUCUGCAUUCACUGUCUUCCUUAUCCCAUGUUUCACAUUACUGAAUCUCCAAAGCCACUUUCUUAAGAGUGCUUUGUUGAAUACUCUUCAAGUCUUCAAUCCGAGCACUCCAUACCUUAAAAGAAGAUGUGACCAACUUUUCAAUUCAUUAGAUGAAACUUUUUAUCCCAUUAUUUGUGUUCCACUUUAAAGUUCAUUGAAGUGUCUUCAACUUUUCUAUCACCCUUGCCGAUGCAUGCAUUUUUGGACACUUGAAAAUGUGUUCCUGAUUAGGACCUCUUUACCUCCUUUUGACGGGUACCUUUUCUGCCACUCUGUCAACCUCUUCUCAACUCUUUCUGUUUUUGAAUUUCAAACUGCAACUAAUUGGUGGUCCUAAAUCCUAAUAGUCCUACUUUUUGUGAUGUGUCUAGUACAGUUAUCCUUUUGGUGUAAACUGCAAAUUGUAUAUGGUAUUGCAUCUCUCUUAGACUUCAUUACUCUUCACAGCGCUAAAGGAGAUUGUAGUCAUAUGUAAUAGCACUUGCUUACUGCUAUUUUACUUUAAUAAAACAUCAUUUUGUUUAAUAAUGCCAUAACACUAGUCACUACUAUCUCUUGAUGUCAAAUAAAUGUGCCUUGUUAACAUAUAUAAUUACAGGAAUAUGAAUCUUCACUGUUCAUGACUUCAUGUAGCUCCAUUUAAGCCCAUCUCAGUCAUUGUUGACAUAGAGGUUGUAUAUCAUUUAUGUACCUGUUGGUAUUUCCUGUUAUCCUGAAUUACCUAUUCUCUUUGUAUUUCACUGUUAACUGACUUUUAGGAAUCGAAGGCCUUUGCCAUAGUUUUGGUAUCCUAUUUUGAUUAUGCUUAGUAUUGAGGUAGGACUAAAGAAUUGGUUUAUUCUUAUAAAAUCAGGUUCAAAAUGGAUAUAAAAUUGUCUUUUUGAAGAAUUUUGAUAUUGUAUCUCUGUGUCACUUUUUGCAACAAGAUGUUCCCAUGUUUAUAGAGAAAGAGUCGUUUUUGGGGAGCUGAAGACAUUUUAGAACAGUGGGUAAAAUUUAUCGAUUUGUUGUUUUUUGGAUAAUUUAUGGUUUUCCCUGGUAGUGCUUCUGUGUUUUUCUGUUCCCCCCUUUUUGUAUGAGUUUGGUUAUUUUGUAUUAAUCAUUAAAAGGUGAAUUACAUGUUACCAAUGUCAAAAAAAAAAAACCACUUAAAUAAAUGGGUCAACUUGACCAUUAGAGUCAAACUAAAGGGUAUCAUGCUACAUGAGGUGUCUAAGGACGAUGUUAAGAAGAAAAUCCAAGAUAACUAAAUACUAAUAAAGAUAAAUGAGUAAGAGUUGAGAUUGCAUCUAUGAUGAGAGUGCCAAUGUCCACCUAUACUGAUUCUUUUCUUUGGACUGCAUGCUUUAUGAGCUGAGUCUACUUUUCUCGUUGAAUUGAUAAAGUCCAUUUUUGUCUGGCACAUUUAUGAAGGACGAAUAACUACAACUUUAAAAAGCAAGAAUCUCACCCACAAGGGUGGCUCAGUUGGUUGAGCAUGGGGCUUCCAUAAUGGAGGUCUCAGGUUCGAAACCCCCUCUGCCUACGACAGCAGGGGAUUUGCCUUCUAGGUUGAGCUCGUCACACAUGGCUUGCCUAGUGCGGGUUAUCUCUCGUGUGAUUUGCGGUCUAUUACACAAGAGCGGGGUUUAUCCUGUGCGCACCCAAAGGGUAGCGGCUGCGGGUUCCCUUGUCAUUAAAAAAAAAAAAAAGAAGAAGCAAGAAUCUCAUGAAACUAAUAGAUGGAAAUUUCAUCGAAAAGAAUGAAGAAAUGACAUGCUUAAUAAAUCUCAUAGAAUAACAACAACAACAUACCCGGUGUAAUCCCACAAGUGGGGUCUUGGGAGGAUAGGAUGGACGUAGACCUUAUCCCUAACUUUGUGGAGUAUAGAGGCUGUCUCGAUAGACAUAGGUUUGAAACAGCAGUUUCAAUUGUUUUUAGCCAUAAUGGCCACUGAAAUUUGAGAAGUUAUUUGCUGUGUCAUUUAGAUGUGCAUCAUGAAAUCAGAUGAAGUCUCUUAGAAUGAAACUCAAAGUUAAAUGAGAAACUACUAACGGUCCAAGGUUGUAUGCUGAUUCUAGUGAAAUUAAUUGUGUACUUGUCUACUUGAUAACAUUAUGCAGAUAUCUUUUUGUGUCGGUUUAAUGUUUUGCGCUGCUUUCUUCAUCUUCACUUCACAAUCAAUCUGCACAUGAAUCUGGAAUCACUUGCUGAAUGGUCAUUAUCAACAUCUAGUUUAAUACUUGUUGCAUAGGCUUUAUUUAGAUGGUGUUGCUAGAGUAACCAUUAAGAAACUUCUGCAUUCUUAUAUGGCCAUAUUGACAGUAGUGAGCUGAUGUACUAAUACUUUUUUUU